Molecule: long non-coding RNA, 329 nt
Filed under: Sorghum bicolor (sorghum)
Lineage: Eukaryota; Viridiplantae; Streptophyta; Magnoliopsida; Poales; Poaceae
Description: long non-coding RNA (SBIC_LNC016513)
Source: RNAcentral
GGAGACAUAUUUAUUUUAUAAUAAAAAUAGAAAUUAGUUAAAACUUAUCUUACUUUAAUAUUACCUCUUAAUAUACCUUAGAAUUAUAUUAAAAUAUAAAAAGUUUGUUGCUAGCUUUAUUUUUUUAUUUAUUUAGAUUAGGAUUCUUAUAAAAUAUGAUAUAUCAUGUAGAUUAUUUUUUUUUCGAAAACGUGUCGUAGGCUCAUAUUGCUUUAAGAAGGAAAUGAGUUCAUAAACACUCCUGAGGUAACCGUGAGCGAGAUGCAACGGGUUACCACAGAGCACACAUGACACAAGUCACCGGCUCGAACGGUGCAGCUGUAGGGUUG